AACGAACGCUGGCGGCAUGCCUAACACAUGCAAGUCGAACGAAGCCUUCGGGCUUAGUGGCGCACGGGUGCGUAACACGUGGGAAUCUACCUUUAGGUUCGGAAUAACUUCCCGAAAGGGACGCUAAUACCGGAUGAUGUCUUCGGACCAAAGAUUUAUCGCCUUUAGAUGAGCCCGCGCAAGAUUAGGUAGUUGGUGGGGUAAGAGCCUACCAAGCCGACGAUCUUUAGCUGGUCUGAGAGGAUGAUCAGCCACACUGGGACUGAGACACGGCCCAGACUCCUACGGGAGGCAGCAGUGGGGAAUAUUGGACAAUGGGCGAAAGCCUGAUCCAGCAAUGCCGCGUGAGUGAUGAAGGCCUUAGGGUCGUAAAGCUCUUUUACCAGGGAUGAUAAUGACAGUACCUGGAGAAUAAGCUCCGGCUAACUCCGUGCCAGCCGCCGCCGUAACAC
This 452-nucleotide ribosomal RNA is filed under the name uncultured bacterium. RNAcentral describes it as "bacterial SSU rRNA". It matches the Rfam family "Bacterial small subunit ribosomal RNA", at positions 29 to 526 of the family's 1533-position model. The record is from RNAcentral.